GUUGGAGUCAGGACUGCCUAAAUACUUAUCCCAUAUGCUGUUAAGCUUUUUUUCACAUAAACAACAUUAAGCACCAUAAGCAUGGUGGCAAGCCCUUUAGAUAACCUAUGGAAUAGUUCGCAUCCUUCCUUUCCCCAGAAAAACUGGCACUGUUGUGAGAAGUGCUCCAGGGCCCUAAAAAGAGUGACCCUGCUAGAGCAGUGGAGGCUGUUUCCCUCCAGGGCUGGAUCCUGGAUGGAGUGGGGCUUAUGCAGAUCACCUUGCAGAGGAAAGAAGGAAGAGGAGAGAGAGACAGAGAUGGGGGCCUAAAUGUAGAUAUUGUACACUUUUACAGUUGCAGAUUCAGACUGCACAGUCCCGGACAGAUCCCCACUAAAGGUCUGGGUAAAAGUCCUGAAACCUCCUCUCAAUUUCAGAUGCCCUCCCGCCAAUCAGCUGACUCCAAGUGGAGCAAAGCCCAGGUCUUGACAUAGAUACAGAUAACAUACACGCCCAGAUGAUGUCACAAUCAGCUGUAUCUAAACAGAGCAGAGCUCAGGUGACAUCACAGAACAGGCAGAGGCAGUUCAGGGGUAUUCUGGUUGCCUUACCCAGCUCUGAAGUCUGUCAGCCUCUUCAGAUGUCACUUGCCAUGUGGUAAGGAAGUGUAGUCAGCAGCUGGUGCAGUGGGAAGAAGAGAAAGGAAGUUCCCCAAGACAAAAACAUCUCGGCAGACCGUGAUCAUGGGCUACAUUCUCCGUACCAGCUUCAUAGCUCCAGUGAGAAAAUAAAUUCCUGCAUCCAGGAGAUGUGGAGUAAGAGAUACAGCUGCCCUUGACCAUAUUUCUUACUUCCGAGAAGAUCGUAGCAGUAAUUCAGAAUCUCAUCCAGGAUACCUCAUCACAGGCUGGAGUGCAGUGUCAUGAGCUUGGCUCACUACAGCCUCCAUCUUCUGUGCUUAAGGAUCCUUCCCUCUCAACCUCCAAGGUAGCUGAGACUACAGGCAACAUUCGAAACCCAGGUGCCACUCCUUCAGGAAGGUACCAUCAAGCUCCAAGGACUCAUCCUCUUUCUCCUUCCCCACUACCUAGUCAUUAGAGCGUCAGCAUCCACUUCCUGAAAGGAAGAUGCCUGUUUUUCACAUAUCCCAGAAAGCCUCAUUUUAGGACAGCAUUUAGCAGAGUGUAUUCAGGAUCCCACUAACCUUUUCGGAAGACAUGACUUCCAGAUGAUAUAAGGCAAGAAUAAGAAAUUUCAGUGACAGGGAACAGAAAUCAUAUUUCUGCAUUCAGGAUCAUGUUUUCUUGGCUCCAUCAGGAACUGUGCAGGACUGUGCACUCUGUUGAUACUCACAUGGUGGAAUUAUAUUGCCCUUGGCCAACCCUAAAGCCAUCAAGAUAGCAGGUUUGGAAUAAUUCACUGUCGAAGUCUUCUUGAGCUGAGCAGUCAUGUGAGCUUGGAAGAUGAUCCCUCUCCAGCUGAUCCUUCAGCUCAGGCCAUCAUCUACAUCUGGAUUCCUGACCCGGAGAAACUAUGAGUAAUGUGUGCUGCUUUUGAGCCACUAAGCUACAUGAAUUAAUGAAGGAUCAUUAUUAAGUUUUUAAUGGGUCAAGAGAAAGUUACCACUGAGGUCUUCUCUACCUGGGCAACAAUUGACUCCUAACAACCACUAUAAGCUUGGAAGAUGAUCCCUCCCCAGCUGAUCCUUCAGGCUCAGACUUUGACAGUCCUCUGAUAUACUUUAUAUGUAAAUAGAUGGCUGAGUGUUCUGGCUGAUGAACAUGGGUUACUUAACCAGAGUUAAGCGAGGACUUUCUCACCUGAAACCACCAAGAGACACAAAAGCCAGAAAAGGACAGAAAUUAAUUCAAGGGUCAACAAAUAGAGUCGGCUUUCUUUAAGACCUGAAGUGUAGAAGUCUAGGUUGAACCCUAGGUUGAUUACGUUGAAGACUACAUUCUCCUGUGAAGCAAGCAUUCCUAAAGGGUCUCUACUUUUUGUAGCCUGGGGAUUUUCUACUCCCCCAACAGCCAGAUGAGGCAGAAACCCCUACAGACAUCCCUAUGUGCCUCCUGUGCAAGUGCAGUUGCCCCUUGAAGGCAGUUCUCCUGCUGCAGACCACGCCCACCAAGGGCAGAGUCACAGCCACUGCAGCUGAGCUCAGAGCCUUCUGUGGGGUCUGCAGGGGCAAGGCCAGCUGUCCCCUGGGAUAGUUUGAAGAAUGCAGUUUGUUUGUAUAAUAAAGAUGUUUCUCUACGUCAUUCAUCUUGCUAAUCAAGGACGUUUAACAGCUUCAGACUUUCCUGGUAAUAUUUGUUCUUGCCUUUUUUUGGCAAAUAUAGUUAACACUUCUAUGCAUUUUUUACCUCACAUAAACAUCAUCUAAAACCAUUCAUAUUUCUGUAUUGCGUAUUAAUGCUUUUCAUUCCUGUAUAUAAAAAUGCAUUCAUAAUCGCUUUUCAAAAUACAUUUUCAGUUACCUUUUC
This 2465-nucleotide long non-coding RNA is filed under the name Homo sapiens (human). Its description in RNAcentral is "HSALNT0379866". The record is from RNAcentral. Lineage: Eukaryota; Metazoa; Chordata; Mammalia; Primates; Hominidae.